Small nuclear RNA from Neogale vison (American mink), 138 nucleotides. Its record names the gene U4. It matches the Rfam family "U4 spliceosomal RNA". From Rfam's summary of the family: U4 small nuclear RNA (U4 snRNA) is a component of the major U2-dependent spliceosome. The structure of U4 snRNA from yeast and human has been reported. The record is from Ensembl. NCBI's taxonomy places the organism in Eukaryota, Metazoa, Chordata, Mammalia, Carnivora, Mustelidae.
AGCUUUGUGCGGUGGCAGUAUUGUAGCCAAUGAGGUUUAUCUGAGGCACGAUUAUUGCUAAUUGAAAAAUGAAGGAUGCUUCCAAGUUUUUGGCUUCUGCGUCCAAAAUGAUGGCAUUGUUAUUUUCUGCAAUAGGAA